This 1287-nucleotide long non-coding RNA is filed under the name Homo sapiens (human). RNAcentral describes it as "HSALNT0334754". The record is from RNAcentral. Lineage: Eukaryota; Metazoa; Chordata; Mammalia; Primates; Hominidae.
UUAUUAUAAUAAUAGCUAACAUUUAUUUAGUGAAUGUGCAUUAUGCCAACUCUUUCCAAAUACUUGACUUUUAGCAUCUCAUUUAAUCCACACAAUAAUUUGAUGAGGAUGGGUAACAAUGAGAUCCAUUUAAUACAUAGAAAAAUGAGGCAUACUGCGGGGUUAGCACCAUGUUCAGGAUCACUUAUGUACUGUGGGUAGAGCCAAAAUAUGAACGCAGGUAGCCUGGUGCCAGGUCUCACUGCAGCUUUUCUAUGAUAUGGAUUGAAGCCAAGUUUUAGGCAGCAUUUAGUAAUUAUCAGCUUUUGCUCUCAAUCUAGCCUUUUAUAUUAGUUUUAUAUAAUUCUCAAGCCCUUAAGAAAAUGAAUAGAAGUCACAUAUUAGUCAUGAAUCAUGUUUGGGAAAAGGGAACCACAACAGAGCUUGAUAGCGAUGCAUUUCAUUUCAGUUCUUUUAUAAAAAUCAGUGUGUGACGCCAUUCUUUCCCGUCCUGCCUUUUUUUUUUUUUUUUUUUUUUUUUUUUUUUUGACGGAGUUUCGCUGUUGUUGCCCAGGCUGGAGUCCAAUGGCGCGAUCUCGGCGCACCGCAACCUCCGCCUCCCGGGUUCAAGCAAUUCUCUUGCCUCAGCCUUCCGAGUAGCUGGGAUUACAGGCAUGCGCCACCACGUCUGGCUAAUUUUGUAUUUUUUUUUAGUAGGGACGGGGUUUCUCCACAUUGGUCAGACUGGUCUUGAACUCCAGACCUCAAGUGAUCCACCCGCCUUGGCCUCCCAAAGUACUGGGAUCUGUUCUGCCUUUUCACCUUCCACCAUGACAGCUCUUUCUCUGUCUUCUGCAGACUCAUCUUCUACGCGUCAUUCAAAUAUUGGUGGUCUACAGCAGCGGUCCCCAAACUUCUUGGUACCAGGGCCAGUUUUGUGGAAGACAAUUUUCCUAAAUACCAGAAAGAGGAAAAGCUGGGGUUUGGUUUCAGGAUGAAACUUCCACCUCAGAUCAUCAGGUUAGAUUCUCCUAAGUAGAGCGCACGUUGGAUCCCUCGCAUGCGCAGUUCACAAUAGGUUCACGCUCCUGUGAUAAUCUGCUCCCUCGCCUGCCCACCCACCCGCCAGUACCCCUGGUCUAGAGGAUCUUUGGCUCAGGACCUUUCUCCAUAAAUUUCCAAGUGAUAUGACCAGUGGGCACCAAAGACUACCUGUGUGCAUUAGUGGCUUCCAAAUCCUCUCGUCUAGACCAUGCUUAUCUUGUGGAAGAUUUACGAAGAGAAGACUGAAGUAUAGACAAGUUGAAG